UACGAAGGGGGCUAGCGUUGCUCGGAAUCACUGGGCGUAAAGCGCGUGUAGGCGGCUUUGCAAGUCGGGUGUGAAAGCCCUCGGCUCAACCGAGGAAGUGCGCCCGAAACUGCAGAGCUUGAGUACCGGAGAGGAUGGCGGAAUUCCCCAAGUAGAGGUGAAAUUCGUAGAUAUGGGGAGGAACACCGGUGGCGAAGGCGGCCAUCUGGACGGAUACUGACGCUGAGACGCGAAAGCGUGGGUAGCAAACAGG
Molecule: ribosomal RNA, 253 nt
Filed under: uncultured bacterium
Lineage: Bacteria
Description: partial 16S ribosomal RNA
Rfam family: Bacterial small subunit ribosomal RNA
Source: RNAcentral